Carassius auratus (goldfish) is the source of this 1448-nucleotide long non-coding RNA. RefSeq lists it as uncharacterized. NCBI's taxonomy places the organism in Eukaryota, Metazoa, Chordata, Actinopteri, Cypriniformes, Cyprinidae. The record is from RefSeq and is a predicted model, not a curated record. The transcript is spliced from 3 exons.
UUCAGAUCGGCAACAAGCACUCACCCUUGUGAUCUCUAUCAGUCUUUAGAUGCUUGCACUUCCAGACUUGCACAGGCCACAAAGUUUCAGCAUCUGCUAAAUGCAUGAGUGUGUGUAAAAUCUUUAGUGUGCGUGUCACAGACAGGCAUUUUUAGGGUUGCACGGCUCUUUGUCUUUAUAGUGUUUCCAAAACCAGGCCUAAACUCACCACAGCCUCCCUCUGCCUUGUGAAAACUGACUCUUUCCUUCUCUUUUCUCUCCUGGUCUCUCAUCCGCAUGAGUCACUUUCUCCCCUUGCAUGCUUGUGACUGUCUUCUUCUCUCCUCGUUAGGCCAAAGGUGACAUUUUCCAGCUGCGAUUUCCCUUCUGCUACAGUUAAGGCUUGCACUUGCAGUGGAGCGACUCUCUUGUGUCUUUCCUCUAGGUGUCUUGACAAACACAACUUGAGAAAUACUACUUUGAAUGGAAAGAGCAGACCAUCUCUUUUCGCCCCAGUGGUCUUGGAGUUGCUCUCUGAUGUCCGUGGGGGUUCCCCUCUAUUCUCUCCCUGCUGAAUCCCACCUAGUGGGGACCUUUCCCAAUCCUUGUAAAGGAAUAUGUUUCAGAAUGCUUACUGUGCACGGUUUUACAGCGUUCAAUUUGAGCUGUGUGAACGUCUGGAAAGCUUCCAAAGAGCCUCAGAUCUCCCAGCAUUCCUCAGGAGAGCUGAAAGCGAGCUGCGGCCAAACACAUGAGCCUUUCACAUGAGCUCGGUGAUCAGUACCACACUACAGCUGCCGUUCACUCCUCCCUUUGGCCUGCUAAUUCUUGCUUCUCUCUGUCCUUCUCUUGUUUUCUCUCCUGUUGUGUCCCCCCCCCCCCUCCUCCUGUCAGGGCUCACACAUUCUCUCUAAAGCUCCGAGUGAGUUUGUCUGCGGUGCGUAUCGCAAGCAGUGUAAUCACAGGGGCCUCUCUGCUGGCCAGAUGUUCAGGGUAUCCAUGCAGGCAUGGCUGAAUUCAUUGCCGAACUGACUCUCCGAACCUUUCUGUGGUUCUUAAGCAAGAUGAUUGGCUGAGAUACAGCGAUCCCAGACAUUCUAGAACAGCAACGUUUUUCGAAAUGUGUUCAAGAUUCUGCUGGACAAAAAGCUACAAGGAAUCUUUUUCUCACUCAACCUUUAAACAUCUGAACGUUCAAUAAACUUUGUUCAUUUUGUGUGCGUGCCUAUGCAUAGCUCCAGAACGACCUCAUUGGGAUCCAUAUCACGACAGUGAUGAGAGUAAUAAAAUAAAUACUCGUUUUGGUGGUUAGCAGCAAUUACAAUCAAACUUGCUACCGAAUACCGAACAUACACACUGAUGCAAUAGUGUGCUGCAAACCACGAAGUAUCACAGGUAUUGCAUAUUUUUGUUUACUUUGAUUUGAACCAGCUUAAAACUGAACUAAGCCACCUUAAAUAUCAAAUAAA